RNAcentral lists this transfer RNA (68 nucleotides) under Podarcis lilfordi (Lilford's wall lizard). RNAcentral describes it as "tRNA.Asn". It matches the Rfam family "tRNA". From Rfam's summary of the family: Transfer RNA (tRNA) molecules are approximately 80 nucleotides in length. Their secondary structure includes four short double-helical elements and three loops (D, anti-codon, and T loops). Further hydrogen bonds mediate the characteristic L-shaped molecular structure. tRNAs have two regions of fundamental functional importance: the anti-codon, which is responsible for specific mRNA codon recognition, and the 3' end, to which the tRNAs corresponding amino acid is attached (by aminoacyl-tRNA synthetases). tRNAs cope with the degeneracy of the genetic code in two manners: having more than one tRNA (with a specific anti-codon) for a particular amino acid; and 'wobble' base-pairing, i.e. permitting non-standard base-pairing at the 3rd anti-codon position. The record is from RNAcentral. Lineage: Eukaryota; Metazoa; Chordata; Lepidosauria; Squamata; Lacertidae.
GCGGCGCAGUGGCUCAGUGUGUCUGGCUAUUAACCAGGAGGUUGGUGGUUCGAGUCCACCCAGGGAUC